AGUGGGAGCGGGCUUGCUCGCGAUACGAACAACGCGGUCCUGUUAAAGACCGCGUUGCUGCUAUCGCGGGCAAGCCCGCUCCCACA
This 86-nucleotide non-coding RNA is filed under the name Pseudomonas psychrophila. The record is from RNAcentral. Lineage: Bacteria; Pseudomonadati; Pseudomonadota; Gammaproteobacteria; Pseudomonadales; Pseudomonadaceae.